Molecule: non-coding RNA, 152 nt
Organism: Caenorhabditis elegans
Lineage: Eukaryota; Metazoa; Nematoda; Chromadorea; Rhabditida; Rhabditidae
Source: Ensembl
AAGAAGAAGCACCCUGGGGUGAAAUUGGAAAGGACAAAGGAACAUUUAUUGUUCACUGGAUCAAGACAUAUGAAGAUUUAGAGUUAGCUACUGAGAUUGGCGGGGAGCCAAUCGUUUUGAAGUUGAACAAAUUUUGGAAAUUUGGUCUGAAA